Triticum aestivum (bread wheat) is the source of this 2504-nucleotide RNA transcript. It is a transcript of the gene named probable helicase MAGATAMA 3, with no coding region annotated. NCBI's taxonomy places the organism in Eukaryota, Viridiplantae, Streptophyta, Magnoliopsida, Poales, Poaceae. The transcript has 6 exons. The record is from RefSeq and is a predicted model, not a curated record.
GAAAAAACCCUAUUUUUUGUUUGAAAUUCAGUCCGCACUCCUUUGUUCCACCCCUCGACCCCGGCUGCAUCUGGCGACGCCGCCACCUCGCCGCCAGCCCGCGUCAUCCGCCGCCCCUUGCCGGCACGCGCUCUCCCCGUCCGCCUCCGGCCUCCAUCAUCUCCGCACCGGCGACCUCCCCUUGCCUCCUCCUCCUUCCCUUCUCUUCCACCUAGAUUGAGAAGGGAAGCCAUGGCGCUCCCGCAGCGGCUAGAUCCAGACCAAACCCGUGGGGUUCCAGCUCGACCUCCUCGCAGCGACCAUGGAGGCGGAAUCCGCGGAUCCCACGACCACGGUGGUGCGAGCCCCCCCUCCCGCGCACUCCUUCCCUUCCACUCUGUUCCAUUGAUGCAAAAUUUUCUCUUUUUUUCAUGAUUGACCACUCGCAAUGGAGUUGGAAGCAGGAGGGAUGUGGGUCAGGCAUCUACAUGUGCUGCUGAAUUCGAUUGAUGGUUCUUGAUUGUUGAGUAAUUCCUGUUAGUUGUUAUAUGUGCUGCUGAAUUCUCCAUUAGGGACUUGAUUCAUGUUGGUUGCUGACUUCAUUGUUGAUUGUUGAUUGUCGAGAGAAAAUCCAGGAGAGCGGUUGAUGCUAGCGCUGGCGAUGCGUCAUCUCCCGCCCACGCAGCCUCCCCACUAUGCCUCCACACCCAGAUUCGAGUCCUCUCGGUCUCCCUCCCCCAUCUGUGGUCGGCAACGACAGUCAUAAUGAUAGCGAAGUGGUGCGACCAGGGGAUGGCGCACAUACGUUGUUGCCGUCGGCUGGCCUAUGCUCGCGUUCAGGAAUGAUGCGUGUUUGCUUUACUGUAGGUGCUUUGGCGCUCUGUAUUAGCUUGUUGUAGAUGCUCUGCUUCCUCUGUUUUCUGCUUUGUCGUGUAUCAAUUGGGUGGUUUGUAGCUGCUGAUGUAAUCCAAGAUGAAGCAGGCAUACAUGUGGACGCUGCUUCUCGCUUGUCUAGCUGCAACUGAUCGCUGGACAAUCACUUAGGGCAGUAUCAUUGCCAUAUAAUUAUUGCAGAGUUGUGUAAGUUUGAUUCAUGAAUGAUAGGACCAAGGAAGGAUAAAUGAAAUGCUUUGCAGUUCAAAAGAGAGUUAACAAUGAUUUAACGACGUUGGAUGGCUGCAUGUGCUCCUAAAGAAGAGGUCGGCUGCUAACAGGUUCCAGGUGGCCGGGAUUGAGGAAAUUAUAUCAGGAAACGAUUUUACAAGGAUGCAUCCCUUUUUACAUGGGGAAGCAGAUAACAGUAAUGAACCAAGCAAGAUGACUAUGGUGCGUGACCUCAAGCUGUGAUAAGACAGAAACUGGAUCUUCUGUGCCCGUUGAAGAUGAGAUGGACGAAGUUACUGAUGAAGCAAUUGGUGCAAAGCUCAAUAUUUUAUAUACACAGAAAAGGGCAGUUUCUUCAGAACUUGCCACUGCUCAUGCAUGUGAAAAGAACAUAGCUGAUAAAAACAAGUCUCUUAAGCACAAGGUAAGGAUGUCAUUCUCGGAGAAGCAGAGAUUGUUGUAACAACACUCAGUGGGUGUGGAGGUGAUAUUUACGGAGUUUGCUCGGAAACUGCUUCAACUAAGAAAUAUGGGAAUUUCUCUGAGCAAACUUUGUUUGAUGUUUUUGUUAUCGAUUUAAGCUGCACAGGCUCUUGAGCAUGCAACUUUGAUUCCACUUCAGCUACUCAAGUCAAAAGGAACUAAGUGCAUAAUGGAUCGAAUGCAUCCUUACAUUAGCAGAUUCCCGUCGUUGCAUUUCUAUGAAAACAAACUGCUGGAUGGUGCUCAGAAGGCUGAGAAAUCAGAUCCUUUCCAUGAUCACCGUUGUCUUGGUCCAUACAUGUUCUUUGAUAUUGCCGAUGGUCGUGAGCAUGCUGGAACAAGUGCUGCUGCACAAUCACUCUCUAAUCAACUUGAAGCUGGUGCAGCACUUGAAAUACUGUCAUUUUUAAAGAACAAAUAUCCAACAAAUUUCUCCUGUAGAAAGAUAGGGACCAUAACUUAUGGCUAUGUUGUGGAAGAGUUCUUGCGGGUAGCAUCUUUCCAUUGUCUGUAAAUUGAUGUAUAAAGCGGGCAUUCCAUUCUUUAAAAAUUGAUAGAUAAAAUGGAUGCAGGUGUGAGCUUGAGGAAGAAGGAGACGGCAAGUGAAAGACCGAGAAGACCAGGAAUUAUUCUUUGCUGGCCAUAAGGUGGAGGCGCUGCUUAGGGAACAUGUGCGGACAUCCUUGCUCCUUUUAUUCUUCCAGUUUUAGGUACUCUCCAACAGGCUUGUACGGAGUACCUAUCUUGCUAUGUACUGAAUUAUUUGCAACUAUGUAGCAAACUGUAUUAGGAGAUCUAGAUAUAUAAUGCGUGUGUGUAUGAAUUAAUUAUUACCAUCACCUAGCUAGCUUGUUACCUGAAAGAUCGAGGCGAACUUUUAUUGUAUGGAUGCUGUGUCGCUGGUUUUCUGUGAUGUUUCAGGGACACAUUGUUUUUCA